Molecule: transfer RNA, 77 nt
Filed under: Rhizobacter fulvus
Lineage: Bacteria; Pseudomonadati; Pseudomonadota; Betaproteobacteria; Burkholderiales; Sphaerotilaceae
Also listed under: 11 other names
Description: tRNA-Arg(tct)
Rfam family: tRNA
About the family: Transfer RNA (tRNA) molecules are approximately 80 nucleotides in length. Their secondary structure includes four short double-helical elements and three loops (D, anti-codon, and T loops).
Source: RNAcentral
CAGCCCGUAGCUCAACUGGAUAGAGCACCGACCUUCUAAGUCGGAUGUCGGGGGUUCGAGUCCCUCCGGGCUGGCCA